Molecule: transfer RNA, 100 nt
Filed under: Thermofilum sp.
Lineage: Archaea; Thermoproteati; Thermoproteota; Thermoprotei; Thermofilales; Thermofilaceae
Description: tRNA-OTHER
Source: RNAcentral
GUAGCUUAGCCCGGUAGAGCGCCCGUCCGCGUGCGCGGGGCGACGCUGUUAGCGGUCUUCGGGCGGCAGGAACCGGGAGGUCCCGGGUUCAAAUCCCGGC